Molecule: ribosomal RNA, 497 nt
Filed under: uncultured bacterium
Lineage: Bacteria
Description: partial 16S ribosomal RNA
Rfam family: Bacterial small subunit ribosomal RNA
Source: RNAcentral
GAUGAACGCUGGCGGCGUGCCUAAUACAUGCAAGUCGAGCGAACAGACGAGGAGCUUGCUCCUCUGACGUUAGCGGCGGACGGGUGAGUAACACGUGGAUAACCUACCUAUAAGACUGGGAUAACUUCGGGAAACCGGAGCUAAUACCGGAUAAUAUAUUGAACCGCAUGGUUCAAUAGUGAAAGACGGUUUUGCUGUCACUUAUAGAUGGAUCCGCGCCGCAUUAGCUAGUUGGUAAGGUAACGGCUUACCAAGGCAACGAUGCAUAGCCGACCUGAGAGGGGGGAUCGGCACCAGGGGAGCGAGGACGCGGCCCCGCACCCAACGGGAGGCACAGGCGGGAAUCCUGCGGCAAGGGGCGAAGGCGGAAGGGGGAAACGCGGCGGGGGUGAGAAAGGUCUUGGGAUCGUAAACCCUGGUUUUUGGGGAAAAAAAAAUGUGUAAUAAACUGUCCCCUUCUGACGGUACCCUAAUAAAAAGCCCCGGCUAACUACGUG